RNAcentral lists this long non-coding RNA (2133 nucleotides) under Homo sapiens (human). Its description in RNAcentral is "HSALNT0294674". Lineage: Eukaryota; Metazoa; Chordata; Mammalia; Primates; Hominidae. The record is from RNAcentral.
CCAUAAAAUAACCAUAUGAUCUUGGGGGAAUGUUACUCUGGGCCUUAGUUUCGUUGUCUGUAAAAUGAAGAUAAUAACAGUAACCUAGAUCAUAAUCCUAUUGUGACAUAUACAGCUCCACAAACAAUAGAUACUAUUACUUUUAGCUAGGCAUUCUGAAAACCACAGUCUCUGUUGAUGGGAAACUCUAAAAACACAGUUGGUUGUCCCAAGUUCAAAUAGCCCCAUUGAUGAAGAAAAAGGGGCUGCCUCUGAGAUAUAUCACCUUAGCUGGGAUUUUCAGAUGACACAACUGAAAGGGGGCCUGUGGGCACAGGGCUGUGGAUGAAAAUAAAGCAUGGCAGGAGUGCAGAAGAACAAUGCCAGGAAGGCUGCAUUUCAGAGUGACCAAGGCUGAUGAGGAAUGCUAAGGACAACAGAAAGAUUGCUUCAUCCAUAUGAAGAAAGAGGGAGAAGGGAAGCCAUGCCUCCUGCUGGGGCAGAUGGUCUGCUAGUGACAGAUGACAGUGAGAAAGCCGAACAAUCCACUCCCAGGCGUCCUCUGCCUUCUCCACCGGGAAUAAGGAGCUGCAUCUUGGAGAGGCUGGAACAAAUGCCAAAAAGAAGGAUCCAGAGCUUAAAGUAGGAGACGGGAGAGCAGAUCCUGUGGUAGCGAUGGUGAUGAGGCUGCUACUGGUGAUUGUUUGAAAGUGCCAAGAGAUAAGUGCAAGCCAAGCUCCCCCAUCCAGUUUUGCCUGCCUCUCAGGUGGGGGCACGGCUGCCUGUGUGGUGGGGAGUCCAUUCUUUACUGGAGACCAGGGCACUGGCCGGUUAGGGCCCAGCUGCUGGGAGCUCAACCAGGGAGACACAUCCUCAAUGAGUUUCUGCAAGGAUGAUGUCUCAGCCUCACUGCCACACCCACUGCUGCACCUAUCUUCUCCACUGGGAUGCCCCUGAACUUGGCUUCCUAGAGCCUCAGUGUUGGGGAUGGGGAUGGGGCACAGAAGCUGUCCUGUUGGGUGGGACCAGGGUGAGGAGAGUUCUUAGAGCAGACUGGGCCACCAUAGUGUGUUCCAGGGACUCAGACCUCUGUGGCUUCCUCCUUGUCCGGGGGCAAAAGACAACAGUAGACCAUCAUGGAAGACACCAAAAAUACCAGCCAGGGCUGAGUUCAUCCUGUGACAAACACCUGUGCAGCCUCUUUUCAUGUCCAAAUCCCCUCCCAUGAGUAGACACUAUUAUUAUCCCCAUUUUGCAGAUGAGGAAACUGAGGCACAGAGUGGUAAGUAAUACGCCCAAGGUCACUUGGCUAGCCAGCUGCAGAACUGGGGCACAGACCAGGUCCCUUUGAUUCCAAAGUCAAAGCAUAGCUCCUAGUUAUCUGGCCCAAAGCUAUGGUUUCUGGGGAGCCAACAUGGAAGGCAGCAGUCCUGGUAGAGAGCAAGGGAGGAGAACACUUCAGAGGCGACCAGAUCUAGGGCAUCAGCCUAGCCACAAUUCUACAAAAACACUUUAGCCCUAUGUUGUCAAGUCUCAAGGUGGGAGACUUGGGAAAUGAAAUGAAACCCCAUAUCACCUCUCCUUUCUACCACAUGCACCCCCUACCCCCAACACACACUUCUGCUCGUGUCUCUGCAGCUGGGCACUCUCCUUGGCUCACCUGCAAAGUGAGCCCCAGCAGUGAGCCAGGAACCAAAAAGAUAGGAUGGCUUUUAGGAAUCUUGAAGUUCCUCUGAAGACACCACCUAGGGGUGGACCCAGACGGGACAGAUGAGGCUCAGAGCAAGGUAAUCUAAUAAUAAUCACAGUGGCAAUUCAGUAAUAAUUUAUUUUUAUUUAGCAUAAGUAUGGGCCAUUUAAUUAUCAUAAACUUACAAGGUACUAUUAGCCCCAUUUUUGAGAUUAGGAAACUGAAGCUCAGAGAAGUUAAGUAACGUGCUCAAGAUCAUCGGCUCAUUCAAGCCAGUGCUCCACAUCAGGCUUGUCUGACUUCAGAGCGUUCUGCUUUCUCGCUGGAGGAGGAGAGGAAUGAGCUGAAGACCUGGCUAAUCCACAUGAGAAAGAACAGCCUCUUUGUGACAGAACGAUUUAUAAUCCUUUGGGUAUUUAUCCAGUAAUGGGAUUACUGGGUCGAAUGGUAUUUCUGUUUUUAGG